CAAAACAAAAGAGGUCGCGGUUAACAUUAGUAAAUAAGGGAGUCACUGCAUGGCGUUGAACUUAUUGAAAGGGGAAAUCGCCGAAGCGUCGGAAUUGUAGGAUCCGAUGUGCUGGGACGUAUCAAUAAUAUGAUAUGGACUGUCGCAACAAAAAGUCGUUGCGGUGCGCUUAUGACAAU
Molecule: non-coding RNA, 179 nt
Filed under: Lactobacillus sp.
Lineage: Bacteria; Bacillati; Bacillota; Bacilli; Lactobacillales; Lactobacillaceae
Also listed under: 1 other name
Description: Lysine sequence
Rfam family: Lysine riboswitch aptamer
About the family: Riboswitches are metabolite binding domains within certain messenger RNAs that serve as precision sensors for their corresponding targets. Allosteric rearrangement of mRNA structure is mediated by ligand binding, and this results in modulation of gene expression.
Source: RNAcentral